This 497-nucleotide ribosomal RNA is filed under the name uncultured bacterium. RNAcentral describes it as "partial 16S ribosomal RNA". It matches the Rfam family "Bacterial small subunit ribosomal RNA", at positions 28 to 507 of the family's 1533-position model. The record is from RNAcentral.
GAUGAACGCUGGCGGCGUGCCUAACACAUGCAAGUCGAGCGAACGGACGAGAAGCUUGCUUCUCUACUGUUAGCGGGGGACGGGUGAGUAACACGUGGAUCACCUACCUCUAAGACUGGGAUAACUUCGGGAGACCGUAGCUGAUACCGGAUCAUAUUUUGAACCGCAUGGUUCAAGAGUGAAAGACGGCCUUCGCGUCACUAAUAGACGAAUCCGCGCUGCAUUAGCGAGUUGGUAAGGUAACGGCCUACCAAGGCAACGAUGCAUAGCCGACCUGAGAGGGUGAUCGGCCACACUGGAACUGAGACACGGUCCAGACUCCUACGGGAGGCAGCAGUAGGGAAUCUUGCGCAAUGGGCGCAAGCCUGACGGAGCAACGCCGCGUGAGUGAUGAAGGUCUUCGGGUCGUAAAACUCUGUUAUUAGGGAAGAACAUAUGUGGAAUUAUCCGCCGAUGUCCUGACGGUACCUAAUGAGAAAGCCCCGGCUAACUACGUG